This 495-nucleotide ribosomal RNA is filed under the name uncultured bacterium. RNAcentral's name for it is "partial 16S ribosomal RNA". It matches the Rfam family "Bacterial small subunit ribosomal RNA", at positions 28 to 507 of the family's 1533-position model. The record is from RNAcentral.
GACGAACGCUGGCGGCGUGCCUAAUACAUGCAAGUAGAACGCUGAAGGAGGAGCUUGCUCUUCUGGAUGAGUUGCGAACGGGUGAGUAACGCGUAGGUAACCUGCCUGGUAGCGGGGGAUAACUAUUGGAAACGAUAGCUAAUACCGCAUAACAGUAGAUGUUGCAUGACAUUUACUUAAAAGGUGCAAUUGCAUCACUACCAGAUGGACCUGCGUUGUAUUAGCUAGUUGGUGGGGUAACGGCUCACCAAGGCGACGAUACAUAGCCGACCUGAGAGGGUGAUCGGCCAAACUGGGACUGAGACACGGCCCAGACUCCUACGGGAGGCAGCAGUAGGGAAUCUUCGGCAAUGGACGGAAGUCUGACCGAGCAACGCCGCGUGAGUGAAGAAGGUUUUCGGAUCGUAAAGCUCUGUUGUAAGAGAAGAACGAGUGUGAGAGUGGAAAGUUCACACUGUGACGGUAUCUGACCAGAAAGGGACGGCUAACUACGUG